UUUCCGUAGGUGAACCUGCGGAAGGAUCAUUAAUAAUGGUCUACGUUUUUUAAGUAGACGCUAAUAAUCCUACCUUUGUAAUUUGUUGUUUUGAAAUAAUUUUUUUUAAAAUUAUGAUUGUCUUUCCUGUUGAAUUGUUGUCUUAAUGGCAAAUGAUUCGCAGGGAGUGUCAGUAAUUUUUAAAAAGACCUUUUUUAAAAUUAAACUUUUUUGUAUUCAUUUGUCUAAAAUUAUUUUAUAAUAUAAAAACAACUUUUGACAAUGGAUCUCUUGGUUCUCGCAACGAUGAAGAACGCAGCAAAUGCGAUAAGUAGUGUGAAUUGCAGAAUACGUGAAUCAUCGAAUCUUCGAACGCAUAUUGCACUUUUUUAGUUUACUAAAAAAGUAUGUCUGUUUGAGUAUCAGUAAAAUAUUCUCAUAAAAACUUUUUGUUUUUAUGGUUAUGAGUGUUUUACAACGAUACAAGUUGUUUCACUUAAUUUUUUUUAAAAUUUGAUUUUCUAAUUUUAAAAUAAAAUUGGAUAAAAUUUUCCCGUAAAAAAGGAAUAACCUAAACAAUUUUAAUUUUGAUUAGAAUUCUUCAAUUAUAAAGAAAAUUUAACUAAAUAACUUGAUCUCAAAUCAGAUAAGAGUACCCGCUGAACUAAGCAUAUCAAUAAGCGGAGAAAGAACUAACAGGAUUCCCUUAGUAACGCGAGUGAGCGGAAGAGCUCAAAUUUGAAAUCUUCAAGGUUUUACCUUGACGAAUUGUAGUUUAAAGAAGUUUUCUGUUGAAUUUUGGUAAAAUUCUUUGGAAUAGGACAUCAUAGAGGGUGAGAAUCCCGUAUUGACCAUUAUUUCAGCUGUGAUACACUUCAAAGAGUCGGAUUGUUUGGGAAUGCAGUCCAAAUGGUGUAAAUUUAUCUAAAGCUAAAUAUUGGCGAGAGACCGAUACGAACAAGUACGUGAGGGAAAGAUGAAAAGAACUUUGAAAAGAGAGUUAAACAGUACGUGAAAUUGUCAAAAGGGAAGCUUGACACCAGUUUGUUUUCUCGAAAAUCAAUUAAAAAAAGUUGGAUUUUUGUGUGUAUUGACCUUAACAGCUUGCUUCACUCUUUCUUGCUUUUUUUAAUCACUUUUCGUUUAACAAGUCAACAUCAGUUUCUUUUGUGUAAAAGUCAUUGAGGUGGCUUUCUCUUCGGAGAAAGUGUUUAUAGCUUUGAUCUCUGCAAUGGAGAGACUGAGGUCUGCAGCGUAGAUCCUUCGGGUUGAUACAUUUGUGCUAAGCUACAGCUUUUCAUAGACAACUGUUGACUAUGUUAGUCUUGUAACUACCCCUAUGCUAUUU
This 1327-nucleotide unclassified non-coding RNA is filed under the name uncultured Neocallimastigales. RNAcentral describes it as "partial contains small subunit ribosomal RNA, internal transcribed spacer 1, 5.8S ribosomal RNA, internal transcribed spacer 2, and large subunit ribosomal RNA". The stretch from base 612 to 1327 matches the Rfam family "Eukaryotic large subunit ribosomal RNA", at positions 1 to 617 of the family's 3401-position model. Lineage: Eukaryota; Fungi; Neocallimastigomycota; Neocallimastigomycetes; Neocallimastigales. The record is from RNAcentral.